CAACUGGGCGGUUCUCCAAACAGCAUAUUAGAAACUUCUUCGAGCGUUGUUCUGUACCUUUAAGUAUUUUAAGUACUUUAAGCACACGACAAACUCACUGUUCAACGAGGUGUUAGUACAGUUAUUAACAAUCAUACGUGGAAAAAUAGGCUGUCAUUUUCUGCAGUUCGACAUUAAAGUGCUUUCAGUGUCGAAGAUUUCCAGCACAAUGUGAACACAUGUACAGAUUCCCCACCCUGUACUUUUACCUUAAUGCAUCUCAGAGCCAGUGAUGCUGCCAGACUGCGGCCAUCACACACACGCAAACAAGAGGCCGUUUUUGGAGUGCUUCCAGAACUUCUUGCUUUACCGGCUAAUUGAGGAUGACUUCAGACUCCAGAAACACAGCACAGUCCUCUGAGGUUUAAUGUGUGUGUGUGUGUGAGGUACGGUGGCAUGAGCAAUAGAUCGAAGGUGUUUUUAUAAGUCAUCUUGAGACACAUAAUUUUAGCUGUAUUUCUCUUUUGCAUUGCAAAAACCAUCCUUAUGUCAUCAAUAUGCAAAUUGAUAAAAUUGCCAAGAGUGCAGCUUUGUUUCCCUGAAGUGCAUUCGUUAGAAUCUUUUAGCAUAAUUGAUUCUCAGCACUGCAAUAAAACUGGUCAUUUUGUGAGGCUUCUAAGCCCCAUGGGUAUGCAGUUGGAGUUCAUGGAGUAACUUCCAGCAUUAAUCAUUAAGAAGUGUCCAUGCCUGAUAGACAGCGUUUGGCCUCCUGAGACGCACACUCACGCUACUAUUCCAAUAAUUGAUAUCUGUAUAAUAAGAGGGCGACAGUGGUUCGAUUGACCGUCGCCCUUUCCAAAUGUUUUCCGAUAAAGACUGACUUCUAAGGCGCUCCACAACACCUCGACGGAGAGGGGAAUUCAUGAUGUAUUGCUGCCUUGCAAAUAAAAACGGAUCCAUCACCUCCACCAGCCAUAACCCAGAUGGCCAGAAAAUUGGCUUUGUGUAGAGAUGUGGAUUCAGGCAUGAAUAUUAAUAGAAGACAGAUGUCCAGUCCAAGUAUGAUAUUUUGUCAUCUAGUGCUGUCAUACAUGAUGUAUCCAAACACAGAAGAUUAGAAAUGAAGAGAAGCAUCAGACACAGAUACAAAGGCAGAUGGUAAGUAGAGAGCAUUGUGCCAGCAACACCAAGGUCAUUGGACUGAUUCCCAGGGAAAGCAAGAACUGAAAAAAUAUGCACCUUGAAUGCAGUGUAUGUCACUUUGGAUAAAAGCAUCUAUCAAAUGCAUACUUGCAAAUGAAAAUGCAAUUAUGAG
Cyprinus carpio carpio is the source of this 1294-nucleotide long non-coding RNA. The record is from Ensembl. NCBI's taxonomy places the organism in Eukaryota, Metazoa, Chordata, Actinopteri, Cypriniformes, Cyprinidae.